Molecule: ribosomal RNA, 253 nt
Filed under: uncultured bacterium
Lineage: Bacteria
Description: partial 16S ribosomal RNA
Rfam family: Bacterial small subunit ribosomal RNA
Source: RNAcentral
UACGUAGGUGGCAAGCGUUGUCCGGAAUUAUUGGGCGUAAAGCGCGCGCAGGCGGUCCCUUAAGUCUGAUGUGAAAGCCCACGGCUCAACCGUGGAGGGUCAUUGGAAACUGGGGGACUUGAGUGCAGAAGAGGAAAGUGGAAUUCCACGUGUAGCGGUGAAAUGCGUAGAGAUGUGGAGGAACACCAGUGGCGAAGGCGACUUUCUGGUCUGUAACUGACGCUGAGGCGCGAAAGCGUGGGGAGCGAACAGG